AUUGAACGCUGGCGGCAUGCCUUACACAUGCAAGUCGAACGGCAGCACGGGAGCAAUCCUGGUGGCGAGUGGCGAACGGGUGAGUAAAGCAUCGGAACGUGCCCAGUCGUGGGGGAUAACGUAGCGAAAGUUACGCUAAUACCGCAUACGAUCUAUGGAUGAAAGCGGGGGAUCGCAAGACCUCGCGCGAUUGGAGCGGCCGAUAUCAGAUUAGGUAGUUGGUGGGGUAAAGGCUCACCAAGCCGACGAUCUGUAGCUGGUCUGAGAGGACGACCAGCCACACUGGGACUGAGACACGGCCCAGACUCCUACGGGAGGCAGCAGUGGGGAAUUUUGGACAAUGGGCGCAAGCCUGAUCCAGCCAUGCCGCGUGCAGGAUGAAGGCCUUCGGGUUGUGAACUGCUUUUGUACGGAACGAAAAGGUUUGGCUUAAUACGUUGAACUCAUGACGGUACCGUAAGAAUAAGCACCGGCUAACUACGUGCCAGCAGCCGCCGUAA
Molecule: ribosomal RNA, 500 nt
Filed under: uncultured bacterium
Lineage: Bacteria
Description: partial 16S ribosomal RNA
Rfam family: Bacterial small subunit ribosomal RNA
Source: RNAcentral